GUUCUACGCAAUGAUGGGUAUAUUCGCAGUAGUGACAGUCAAUUGACCGGUCAAAUGACUGUCACUGUUCUUUUAGGGUUGAUUUGUGAGGGUUAAAUAAAAAAUUGUUUGUUUACAUUGAACUGUAAAUUUUUUCAAACAAAUUUGUGAAAAAAAUGAGGAAAAUGUUCUUUUUGCGGCAAAAUUGGUGUCAAUUUGGGCUUCCAAAUUGCGAUUUUGGCGCAAAUUCCUCAUUUCUGUUGUGUCAUUUAAGAGUGGUAGUUGGUGUUUGGGGAUUUUUUAGGAGCCGCAAAUGUGUUAAGGAUUGUCUAGGAGGGGAGAAUCUUCAUCGCUUUCCGAAGGAUCCGACAAGUGUAUUACGUGCAUAAUUUGGUCCAAUUAUCUUCAGGCACUUGAUAUAUAUACUUAUCGCUGAUCUCGGAAAGAUUUGGUCCAAUUCGUCCAUUAGUUUCAGGCACUUGAGGAUACUUACCGCUGAUCUCGGAAAGUUUUGGUCCAAUUCGUCCAUUAGCUUCAGGCACUUGAGGAUGCUUACCGCUGAUCCAGGAGAGAUUUGGUCCAAUUCCUCCGUUAGUUUCAGAUAUUACUUACCAUUUUUCCACAAGGAACAACUUAUUUGGAGUUAAUUUUGUAACUUUUUUUAAUAAAUAAAAGAACAAAAUAAAAAAUUGUGAAUUUUUUUCAACAAA
This 689-nucleotide unclassified non-coding RNA is filed under the name Lucilia cuprina (Australian sheep blowfly). Its description in RNAcentral is "uncharacterized LOC124420457, transcript variant X2". The record is from RNAcentral. Lineage: Eukaryota; Metazoa; Arthropoda; Insecta; Diptera; Calliphoridae.